GACGAACGCUGGCGGCGUGCCUAAUACAUGCAAGUAGAACGCUGAAGAGAGGAGCUUGCUCUUCUUGGAUGAGUUGCGAACGGGUGAGUAACGCGUAGGUAACCUGCCUUGUAGCGGGGGAUAACUAUUGGAAACGAUAGCUAAUACCGCAUAACAAUGGAUGACACAUGUCAUUUAUUUGAAAGGGGCAAUUGUUCCACUACAAGAUGGACCUGCGUUGUAUUAGCUAGUAGGUGAGGUAAUGGCUCACCUAGGCGACGAUACAUAGCCGACCUGAGAGGGUGAUCGGCCACACUGGGACUGAGACACGGCCCAGACUCCUACGGGAGGCAGCAGUAGGGAAUCUUCGGCAAUGGGGGCAACCCUGACCGAGCAACGCCGCGUGAGUGAAGAAGGUUUUCGGAUCGUAAAGCUCUGUUGUAAGUCAAGAACGGGUGUGAGAGUGGAAAGUUCACACUGUGAUGGUAGCUUACCAGAAAGAGACGGCUAACUACGUG
This 497-nucleotide ribosomal RNA is filed under the name uncultured bacterium. RNAcentral's name for it is "partial 16S ribosomal RNA". It matches the Rfam family "Bacterial small subunit ribosomal RNA", at positions 28 to 507 of the family's 1533-position model. The record is from RNAcentral.